CCUGGUUGGAAUCACGUGGUCUGUGCCCUCUGCAGUCAGUGACAGACAUGUCUAGAAAUAGCAGAAUAGUGCUCAUUUUCGGGGGUUUUAUCACUGCAGUGGCAGCAGCUUUUUACCCUAUAUAUUUUUACCCUAUGAAGCACAUAGAUGAAUACAGUAAGUGGAAUUGGGAUGUAUGUAAAGCAGCAGUGGUGGUGAAGGACUUGGGUUGCACUGCAUUAUAUAAC
Non-coding RNA from Pelobates cultripes (western spadefoot toad), 227 nucleotides. Lineage: Eukaryota; Metazoa; Chordata; Amphibia; Anura; Pelobatidae. The record is from the annotation of a GenBank genome assembly.